Molecule: non-coding RNA, 2322 nt
Organism: Equus caballus (horse)
Lineage: Eukaryota; Metazoa; Chordata; Mammalia; Perissodactyla; Equidae
Source: RefSeq, a predicted model, not a curated record
CCCGCUGACCUGUCAGUCCACCUCACGGUUGGAGCCUGCGGGAGCUGAGCGGGGACUCCUCGGCACCCCUUCCCCGCUCAGGCCCGGGAGCCCGCGUGUCGGGCCGUCAGUCGGUCCCUAUGCCGCGCCGAGGGACAUGGCCUUCAUUUGGUCUGAUUUUCUGAGUCUCUCAAACUGCUGCUGCAGGGUCCCUGGAGACAGCUCGUUUCUCCUGGAAGAAUCGCCAAAGUCAGCUUCAGCAGCUCACAAACGUCUUCAUUGCUCUGAGCACAGCGCUAGGCAUAGAAUUGGAUUCAGCUGAUACUUGCCACCUGGCUUAGAGAACAAGGACUCCAGCUCCAGCCCCAGCUGCGGCACCUGCUAGUUCUGUGACCUAGGUUUCUUUGCUGGGAAGGCAGAGGAAGCCAGGAGAGGCCCAUCAGAAUGGACUUCACCACUUCAUCGGCCCAGGUCGCGAUGCGGAAGCACCGAGAAUCAUCGGAGCUGGAAAGUAUAGUCCAGUGGUGUGCUAGGAAAGAAGGGGAGAAGGCCUUUUGGCCUCUGCCACGUCUCUUGACUUGGACACCUUCCCACUGCUGCUGACAGCAAUCAGACACCUGCUCCCUGAGCCCAUGGCAGCCAGCAUGCCUCUUCUACAGCACUCGCCACCCUCUCUCAGGAGGGCUGUGACGGGCCAAGUCACACCCGCAGCACAGUGACACUGCCUGUUUCAAAACUGACAGCGAGCGUGGAACGUCACCUCACCUCUGAGUGAGCCCAGGAAGCGACAACUCUCCGUGGCCAGGAAUCUCAGCUCCUCAGAUUCCGUGGAAAGGAGUAGCGAGCUGGUCCUAAAGGAGGAAGAGGAAAUGGAAACGAGCUAAACUGUCAGCUGCCUAGUGAGUGUCUGGCUCAAGACUCCUCACGUUUGCUUGAUCUCCUGUUUUUAACGCAGUACCUUUCUCUGCAGCCUCUCUGCUCACCCUGGUCACCAUUUGACUCCUCCGCCCCCUGGCGUUGGGUUGUUAUCAUAAUCCUUCACAUCCAUCUGGCUUCCCUCAACGGUUAUCUUAUUCACUCUCCUAAAAAAAAAAAAAUCCUGUGAGGAAAGAAGAAAACUGCACAACUCACUUUUGUGUGGAGUCUAAAAAAGUCGAAUACAGAGAAGCAGAGAGCAGGCUGGUGGUUGCCAGGGCAGGGAGGUGGGGGAGUGGAGAGAUGAGGUCAAAGGGGGCGGAAGUGUGGUUAUGUAGGGUGACUUAAGUCUAGAGAGCUAGUGUCCAGCCCGAUGGCUGUGGUUAAUAAUACUGUAUAGUUACUGGAAAUAUGCGAAGAGUAGAAUUCAAGAGCUUUCAUCACAAAAAAUGACUAUAUGAGGAGAUAGCAUGUUAGCUCAAAUAAUAAUCAUUUCACUAUGUUUAUGUGUAUCAAAUCAUCAUUUUUAUCAAAAGCGAGAGAAGAGAAAACAAAAAAAAUGCAAAAAAAGCCUGUGAGAUGGGAAGGGCAGAGAUUAUUCUCUCAUUUCACAAUGACGCACAAGACUGCCCUUCCGUCCUUUUGUCCAUCCAUCCGUCCAUCAUCCAUCAUCCAUCCAUCUAUCCAUCCUUUCAUUCAUUCAUUCAUUCAAAAAAUAUUUAUUAAACUACUCCUGUGUGCUAGCAACUUUGUAAUGCUCUAGGGGAGCAAAGAUGUCUGGGAAGCUCUUGAGAGAGAUAUCAACGCAUGGAAGAAAAAGAGGGAGCCUAUUUUGGGUUUACAAGCGGGAAGUCCAUGCUGUCAGAGGAAGGGGUGGUGGAUGUCAUUGCAGACCACGGCCAGCAGGUGGCACUCCGGGUCCCACGAAGCCCAAGAGCCCUUCCAGCCUUCCAGGCCCAGCUUUCAUUUCGUAUUCAUUACGGUACUUAAAAUCAAAUUCUAAGUCAUAUCAUUGAAAGGCUGCAUUCAAUUUGAUUUUAAUUCAAUUUAUUUGCCGUUAAUUGUUCCGUGCACUUCUAAAAAUGGUCAAAUUAAAUCUGGUCGUAUCAGGGCUUUCUGGGUAAGAGAAAGACGUCCAGGGAACUCAGACUCCUGCAUAAACUAGCACCUCCAGUGAGUGGUUCUAGGUCCCGGUUCCGUUCUUAGGAAAUGCUCGUGAAAAGGUAAUGCUAUUGGGAAAAGAUCCGGAAGGACAUCCUCUAAGAUGUUAAUUGUGGUAUCUCCCAGUGGUGGGACUACCAAUUUUUUUUUCUUUUAAAUACUGUGUGUACUUUAUUUAUUUUUUAGAAUGAACAGGUAUUAAUUUUCAUGCUUGUCUUCCGUUUUUCAUUGAAUAAAACCUACAAAUGGAAAAAUACAAAUCUUAAA